UGUGAGUGUGAUGCAGAAGUAUGACAGCAAUGGAUUGUUCUCUUCAGACUGGACCGAUGCGGUGCUGGGACUGCGAGGGAAGGAAGUUGUGGUGCAGGGAGAUGGUUGUGCAAUGGAGGGGCUGUGCAUUUGCUCCACCGAUGACCACUGCGCUCCUAAACUAGGCUAUUAUUGUCGACCUGGGGAAGUCUAUGAGCAGGCUCGAGUUUGCCGGAAGAUAAAAUCCGUGGAAGCUGAUGGUUUGGCAUGGAGCGCAUGAUACCAUUCACAUUCAUUUGCUGUGAGGUUUAUUUCUGUGUCACUUCCUCUUCGAAUAAAGGAUGAAAUGUCAGUCAAUAAUUACUACAUAGUUUAUUAUUGUGAUAUUAAAGCAAGCGUCGAUAAAUGCAAUAUUGUAUGGGACGCAGAUUACAUUCCUCCCGAUUUAUCUGUACAACUCCAAGAUGACUUAUACAAGUCAUUCUAUAGAACUAUAAUGUCUUAAUAAAUUUUUUUUGGGAAAAAAAUUAGGACAUAAUUUCUCAUUAUUUUUCAUAGCAAGAUCCCAUUUUGAAGGAAACGAACGCUCUCCAGUAUCCUUUGCAUGAAAGGAACGAGGAAGCAAGAAAUAAUUGUGCCAUUCUUAACGCCAUCGUGUGGAGAGAGAUAGUAUGUUAACGCGAUAUUCUUCGCUAUCAUUUCUUAAAAUAAUAAUGAUGAUUAAUGAUAAUAACCUGCGACUCACGUAAAUGUUCUGAUUAAUUUUACAUUAAUUACGCUUGACCCACGUUUCGUGACACAAAUGAAAUGGUAGUUCACACCGAUUACAUUUCAAAUUUUUGACUCAAAGCUCGUCCUAUGGAUCGCGAGAAUAAACCAUAUGGUAAGAAGCUACAUAAAUAUGGAAAUCACAAAGGAGGGUGAUUACUGUAAUUAACCCUUCCUCGAUGCCCCCAACUCCAAGAAACUACUGCUCUCUCUAGGUAACUCUACGGCGCAGCAUCCAAUCUUAUGUUUUUUCCUUUCUCAUCCUCGCAGUAUAAUUUAGAGAUAGCAAGUGGUCGCACCAUGAUCGAGGGAAACAGCAGCGAGAGCAAGCUGAGCCAGUACAUCAGGCCCCCGACCGGGAGCUGCGGCAUGCCCCGGACUUGUACGAUAGCAGCAUGGCCGGGAUCGCCGGCAAGGCGCAGUGUGGCACCGUCAUCGCGCUGUCUUCGCGCCUAUGGCUUUGGGCUGUGCUCGCGGACGAGCAGCAGCGAGGAAGAGAUCAACGACCUCAUCGGCGCCGUUUGCAAGAGCAAGAUGCGGGCCAUCCCGGUGGAGGAUGGGACGCCGGUGCCGAGGAGCCACAGUGUGGCGACGUUGAGGAUAGACGAAGACAAGCCGUGUGACUUCGAGGACGACCUCACGGUGGCCCUGGGGCCAAGGAGCUGUGGCUACGAUGUUGCCACCGAGAGGAAGGUGGGCUUCUAAUAAGCUUCAAGUUAGCUUGUGCGGUGAUCUAACACGAACAGUAAACAUCCGAGCUUAUAUAUUGUACUGCUUUCGAGGGAGGAAAUAAGCAAUUCGUUGAGCCGUUGUCAUUCUUUGGGAACCAAAACUUAUUAGGAGAUAAAUCGAAUAGUAGAUAUUCGUCGCUUCUUUUAUGAAGCCUUGUUGUAUUUUACCUACUCACCACGUCUUGUGAUAAUCUCAUGUAAUAUCUACACAAAAUAACUAAGUUUUAGAUCGGGCAUGACAUCCUCAAGGAAUGAUUUUUUAAUAGACUACAGUGUUUAUUUAUGUGAGGAUUUGGCAUGCUUUUUUCAUCUUAAAAAAGGAAAUGUUAAAUUUCUAAGAAAAACCUCCUAACUUUAAGAAUUUAUCAAAUAACCCUCCAAUCUUGAGAAAUUUUUAUAGAGUAUUUCUUUUUCUUAAAUGAUCAUUCUACCCAUAUUGAUUGUCGCCUUUACCCUUGCAUUGUUAUUGCUGUGCUUGCCGGUGGCCUUCGCACAAGGAAGGAAGGGGUGCAAGAGUUGUCAUCUCCUUCCUGCACCACCUCCCCUCCCUUCUGCAUGCUGGACUUAUUGCUUACAGGCCUCACGCGAGGAAGGAGAAGGUACGAGGGCUAUUAUCACCUUUGCAGACCUCACUAACCCUACACUAACGCCUUGCUCACAACCCUCGCAUGAGAAAGGAGAGGACGUGAGGGCUGGGAUAGUAAUUCAAAUCCAAUCAAGGUCUAUUCCAAAUCAGUCACUAUUUGUAAUGCACUAAAUUUGUAAAACUAGGUUGAGGGGCAUUCUUGACAAAUAUUCCUUCAACGGCGAAUUGAAUUUUUAGGUUUGGACUAGUCGAUGAAGUGAAGUCAUAUCUUAGGAGUACAUGGGAGCCCUUUUUAUGAGUGAUACUAAGGAUGAUUAUUCCUAGAAUCACCGAUCGCAUAGGCCAGCCAUGUCAACCACGGGUUCAGAUGAUUGAUUAUCUGGUCAUGUAUCACCCCUUUAUGAGUAUAUGUCUUACGACCUGAUCAUCAUUUGUCUAUCGCGUGUGAUCCUCAUGCUCUUUGGCAAUCGAUCAGUUGGCUCAUUGGUCAUCGGCAAUGUUGUAUUUGACAUGUCACUUGUCACCUAUCACUUGCCCCCAACUUCUAGGUUGAUAGAUUGUAGGGCUAUCGAGUUAAGAAGUGCUCUAGCUUAUGCUUUUAACACUGAUAGUGGAUUUGUUCGUCAUCUUUUUGACAUAUGUCAUAGAAAUGCAUGUUCUGUCCGUUAAAGCUAUUCUAUCCAUUUAGUAUGUUUAACGCAUUCGGUUCAUUUAACCCGUUCUAUUCAUUAGUUGCUCUCCCUCUAACAUACAUUCCUUAAUAUAUCUUGGUUGCUCUCCCUCUAACAUAUCAGUAUAAAUUUUAGUUGUUUGAGUUGAGAUGAUAACUUAGAUCUAUCUGACGUUCAUUCCAAGUUAGUCUAACUCUAGAAAACCUACAAAUGCCCUAUCGUCGAUCAAGUCAGACUUGUCAGCCAAUACUAAAGUCAAGUCGGGUCCUGGAAGUGUACAUAAGAGUCUCUUUUAUUAGUAACUCUAAGAAUGGUUAUGUCUGGAAUCAUUGAUGGUAAGAGGGGAAUAUGUGCCACAUUCAAGCUGAGACUUGGCAUUCGUACAAGUAAAUGGUUGAUGUGAUCCGGGAGAGAGCAAGGCAUGUAAAUGAUUCAUAACAAGGGAACGUCUCUUACAAGUUCUCCAUUGACAGGUUCUUCCGACUUAGAAUUGGUCUAAUGUUUUCCGGCUUCUCCGUACCUCAGGAAAUGUUGGGUCUAGCCCAUACGUCAGCUUGGACUAGAUAAUUAAAUUUUUGAGCUCAAAUCAAUAAUUAAAAAAAAAAACUGCCUAUAGCGUUUUGACAAGCGAACGAUGGCGACGCACAGUCAAAUUAACAUAGAAAGAGAAAAGAGAAAAAAAAUAAGAUUUUGAGUUUUUCUUAGUUAACGAUCAGAGUCAAACUUGGAUCCAAAUUAUACAUGAAAAAUCUUUACAGUAGCCAGCUCUACAAUCCGCUGAUUUGUAGUUUACCCUUUAUGAGGUAUUUUCCAACUAUACUCAUUUUGUGAGACAAAAUUCUUUUUUUGAUGAGAUUCAUUCAUGUGAUGAUGAUAUACUAUUCUUGAGUCAAGAUAUGUGAUUUUGAUGUUAUUAUGGUUCUCUUGUUAUUUUAAAGAAGACUUAUUGUAAACCUAUAAUUAUUAUUAGUGAUAGUGGAAGCUUGAAGUGGACUACGAUCCCUAUUAUUAUUAUUAGUGAUAGUGGAAGCUUGAGGAGGACUACGGUACGUGGUUUUUUCCGCAUUAGGUUUUUCACGUUAAUAUUUGGUCUUACUUUGUGAUUGAUUCAUUGUUUUGUUAUUUAUGUUGUUCUGGUUUAUAUGUACUUUUGAUAUCAAGCUGGUUUUUGAUGAGAAACUUAUUUUAAUAGACAAAAAGAAAAAAAAUUAUUUUAUUUUAAUAGGUUUUUCCCAACAAGAAAUUGAGUGAAGAACUCUAUUUAACCGACUUCAAGUCGGCACGACCCUCUUCGCAUCCAAUGUUAGUGUAGCGCUAUGACCUAGGAAGAAGAAGAGGGAACAAGCUGAUGCGGUACAUCAAGGCCUCUCAUCGAGCACUGCUACGUGCCCGGGACUUGUACGUGAACAGCAUGGCUGGAUGCGCCAGAAGGGCCCAGGGCGAGCCGACGAUCAUCGCGAUGCCGCACGCCCAGAGCCACAUAUAUACACACACAAACGCGCACACACAAUAAAAGUAAUAUAAUUAUUGAUGCCCAUGCAAAAAGAUUUUAUAUCAUUUUUAUUUAAUUCGCUCACGUGGAUCAAUCGAGUUGUCCAUGUGUUAUUAUCCAUUAACUUGCUUUUAUCUAUUAUAUAAUAACGAUUGGAUCAUGAGCUGGCUUUCUCAUCUGCGUGCCAAUCCAAACGCUUCUAUACUGUGCCAUCGACGACUUCAAUAUCUUUGAUUUGCUCACAUCUCAAAGCCAAAAAAAAGGAAAAAUGAUGAGUACCUACAGUAUAUGACAAUUAGUUAGACCGAUUCUUCUAAAUUUUCUGAUCCCAUCGUGAGGCGUGCAUGACCAGCGUACUUUCCCCACUGUAUUUUACUCGACCAUCACUAACCUCACCGCUAUUAUAGAAAUAGUAUGUCAACACGAUCUUGGCUGUCAUCANNNNNNNNNNNNNNNNNNNNUUUUCUUACAAUAAUAAUAAUGAUAAGAACCUUGCGUCCCAAGUUGGCUCACGUGAUUGAAAUAAAUGACUCGAAUUGGGAACAAUACCCAUAUGCAGAUUCAUUGGGAUGGCAGAAUCUCUUGUUAAGUCAACGGGCUUUACCUCCCUUAUUUUAUAUGAAUUUUUUUCUGACACCUAAUAAUUUUGUAAACAGUGAUCAAGAUAUCGAAUUCACAUUCUCCUAUAUACACAUUACAUACCCAUAUGCAGACCAACUCUGGACAGUCAUCAUGGCCGCCACCUACUUUGCCCUAUUCGCCUCCGGCCUCGCCGUCUUGCUUCUACUAGUCCAAGGAUCGCCGCCAGGGCCCGUUGUCCAGUGCCGGUCCGGCAACACUAACUGCACCGUGACCAACGGCUAUGGAGCCUUUCCUGAUCGCAGCACCUGCUGCGUCGCCGCGGUCGCGUACCCUUCCACCGAACUGGAGCUCCUGUUAGCUGUCUCCGACGCCACCGAGAAGCAGCAGCACAUGAAGGCUGUCACGAUGUACUCCCACAGCAUCCCCAAGCUGUCGUGCCCCGGAGGGCCGAGCGGCCAGGGCCUGGUCAUUAGCACCCAGCGCCUCAACCGAUCGGUGAGCGUGGACAUGGCCACCUCGCGGAUGACGUUCGAAGCAGGGAUCACACUUAGGGAGCUCCUUGACGCGGCGGCCGCCCGUGGCCUGGCGCUACCCCACUCGCCGUACUGGCAAGGGAUGACGCUCGGCGGCCUGCUGAGCACCGGCUCCCAUGGGAGCUCGGUGUUCGGGAAGGGCUCGGCGGUGCACGAAUAUGUGGUAGGGAUGAGGCUGGUGGUUCCAAGUCCGGCCCCGGUGAACGGAUACUACGCCAAGAUCGUUAAUCUUGGUGAGGAUGAUCCUGAUCUCUUGGCUGCCAAGGUUUCUCUCGGUGUUCUUGGAGUCAUUUCUCAGGUAUGUGUGUGGUGACCUACGUGUUAUUCUUUGUUCUUUACACGGAUUGAGAUCCAUGUGAUAACUCAUCUUAGUUCUUCAUGGUGGUUCUUCCAACCACGUCAAGUACUUUCAUAAGCUGAGUGUACAAGAUUUGCCACGUUUCGAUGCUAAUUAGGUGCAACUAUAUCUUUAAUUCUUCAUGAUAUAAUAGAGAUCAUCCUACUGUUAUUAGCAACGCUGAAUACAUCCUAUCGUCAGUAAAAUGUCGAGACAGAAAAAAAAAACUUGAUUUCUAUCAAAUCACUUUACAAAGGAAGACUUGUUCUUUUCCUUGAAUCUAGAAAGUUACGUAAAUAAUAGGCUUUUGAUGAUCGCAGUGGACUUUACUUUUAAUCUUUCCUUCUUUUCUUGCUUUGCUUGUCUUCCUUGUUUCAAAAUGGGCUGAUGCAAACCUUUGAACCGUUCUAAUGAUUCCAUGUACCUUCCCUCGUCGUUUAUCGUAACUACACAACAUACUUGAGUGUUAUGGAACAUAUGAGCACAUGCAAACCCACAGAGACAAAGAUCAGAGAAAAAGCAACCAUUGCAAUAACAGCUACAGUGACGUUGAUGAUGACUCGGUGUAAAUGAGAGUGCCCCUUCCUUCACAUAUGGAGCCUCGAGCAGGGCAAGAGGCAGGCAGGUCCAUGCUGCCUUGCCUUGCAGAGCUUACGACCGGGCCCACUAAUUGCCUUAAAAGCCUCAGUAACAAUUAUUAGGUUGAAGGACGAUAGGGGAUGUCAGUAGUUGUAGUUCUUGUUUCAAUCUUUUUGCCUGAAUAGCUGAAAAGAGUUGACUAGCGAUACAUGUAAGCUUUUGUUCUUCUGCUUCAUUAUAAGUAACCUAAGAAUUACUUGAACCGAUCGAGCAGGUCACCCUCCAACUUGAGCCAAUGUUCAAGCGAUCCAUCACCAACAGGGUCGUAAGCGACGUUGGCUUCGAGCAAACCAUCUCCUCGUACGCUGUCACUACAUACUAUGGAGACAUCAGCUGGUAUCCGUCACAACGCAGAGUGGUGUACCGAGAUGAUAUCAAGGUCCCCAUCACCACCGAAGGAAAGGGUGUAAACGACUACUUAGGGUUCCGAGCGCAGCCCACCCACGUCGGAGCCUCUCUACGUGCUUCAGGUCUUAUAAAUUGCAGCUUUUAUUUUGCUUGUCAAACUUAAUGUAGUGUUCGAGCAGUAUUAUGCACACAUUUACAUCGACAUUUCGUCCGAGAUUUGUACUAAGAAGGCUUCUUUUGUCCUCUACCAUGUGUUUGUGUCUGUGAAUGCAGAGGAACGAGUGGAGGCAACGGGAAAUGCGGAAGGCAAAUGUGUGCUGUUCAGAUUGCAAGUUGAUACUUUGAUUGCGACCGGCAUGGGCCUUAAGAACAAUGACGGCGGCUUGUUAGAAUUCACCGGCUAUCCGGUCGUUGGAAACCAAAGCGACAUGCAAUCCUCCGGUAGGUCCUCCAAUUAUCCGAAGAAUGUAUAUGAUGACACAUGUUACACCUGUAUUAUAUAUUAUAUGGUCUGAGCCAAAUUCACUCCUGUAUUCUGUAUUAGUCUGAACCAUCUUCUCUCCAGGUUCGUGCCUAAGAAGUGCAGAAGACAACCUUCUCACGGCCUGUGGAUGGGACCCUCGCUUUGCUGGGUCCUUCUACCACGAAACCGCGAUAAGUAUCCCCUUCACCACCGUUGCAGACUUCAUCGCCGACGUCAAGAAGCUCCGCGACGCCCACCCCAACUCGCUCUGCGGCACCGAGCUGUCCUUGGGCUUCUUCAUUCGCUUCCUCCGCAACUCCACGGCCUAUCUUGGCAAAACGGACGACGUGGUGGAGAUCGACAUCACAUACUACCGUUCCAGGGAUCCAAAACGGCCGCGACUCUAUGAGGAUGUGCUCGAGGAGAUCGAACAGAUGGCCUUGUUCAAGUACAAUGGGCUGCCGCACUGGGGGAAGAACAGAAAUGUCGGCUUCCUCAAUGUCAAGAACAAGCUGGGGGCUAAGUUGGCCAAGUUUGUGAGUGUGAUGCAGAAGUAUGACAGCAAUGGAUUGUUCUCUUCAGACUGGACCGAUGCGGUGCUGGGACUGCGAGGGAAGGAAGUUGUGGUGCAGGGAGAUGGAUGUGCACUGGAGGGGCUGUGCAUUUGCUCCACUGACGACCACUGCGCUCCUAAACUAGGCUAUUUUUGUCGACCUGGAGAAGUCUAUGAACAGGCUCGAGUUUGCCGGAAGAUAAAAUCCGUGGAAGCUGAUGGUUUGGCAUGGAGCGCAUGAUACCAUUCACAUUCAUUUGCUGUGCGGUUUAUUUCUGUGUCACUUCCUCUUCGAAUAAAGGUUGUAAUG
RNAcentral lists this long non-coding RNA (7992 nucleotides) under Musa acuminata (dwarf banana). Its description in RNAcentral is "long non-coding RNA (MACU_LNC000772)". The record is from RNAcentral. Lineage: Eukaryota; Viridiplantae; Streptophyta; Magnoliopsida; Zingiberales; Musaceae.